CGCUGGCGGCGUGCUUAACACAUGCAAGUCGAACGGAAAGGCCCAGCUUGCUGGGUACUCGAGUGGCGAACGGGCGAGUAACACGUGGGUGAUCUGCCCCAAACUUCGGGAUAAGCCUGGGAAACUGGGUCUAAUACCGGAUAUGACCUGCUCCUGCAUGGGGGUUGGUGGAAAGCUUUUGCGGUUUGGGAUGGGCCCGCGGCCUAUCAGCUUGUUGGUGGGGUAAUGGCCUACCAAGGCGACGACGGGUAGCCGACCUGAGAGGGUGUUCGGCCACACUGGGACUGAGACACGGCCCAGACUCCUACGGGAGGCAGCAGUGGGGAAUAUUGCACAAUGGGCGCAAGCCUGAUGCAGCGACGCCGCGUGAGGGAUGACGGCCUUCGGGUUGUAAACCUCUUUCGCCAGGGACGAAGCGCAAGUGACGGUACCUGGAGAAGAAGCACCGGCCAACUACGUG
RNAcentral lists this ribosomal RNA (460 nucleotides) under uncultured bacterium. Its description in RNAcentral is "bacterial SSU rRNA". It matches the Rfam family "Bacterial small subunit ribosomal RNA", at positions 34 to 507 of the family's 1533-position model. The record is from RNAcentral.